RNAcentral lists this ribosomal RNA (405 nucleotides) under uncultured Chroococcales cyanobacterium. RNAcentral describes it as "bacterial SSU rRNA". It matches the Rfam family "Bacterial small subunit ribosomal RNA", at positions 355 to 776 of the family's 1533-position model. The record is from RNAcentral. Lineage: Bacteria; Bacillati; Cyanobacteriota; Cyanophyceae; Chroococcales.
UGGGGAAUUUUCCGCAAUGGGCGCAAGCCUGACGGAGCAAUACCGCGUGAGGGAGGAAGGCUCUUGGGUUGUAAACCUCAGAAAUUAGGGAAGAAAAAAAUGACGGUACCUAAAAUAAGCAUCGGCUAACUCCGUGCCAGCAGCCGCGGUAAUACGGAGGAUGCAAGCGUUAUCCGGAAUCAUUGGGCGUAAAGAGUCCGUAGGUGGCAUGAGAAGUCCGCAGUUAAAGACAGAAGCUUAACUUCUGAAAAGCAGCGGAAACUAGCAAGCUAGAGUGCGAGAGGGGUAAAGGGAAUUCCCAGUGUAGCGGUGAAAUGCGUAGAGAUUGGGAAGAACACCUGUGGCGAAGGCGCUUUACUGGAGCGACACUGACACUGAGGGACGAAAGCUAAGGGAGCGAAAGGG